ACACAUGCAAGUCGAACGAGGUCCAUCCACUCGCAAGAGUGGUGAAGACCUAGUGGCGAACGGGUGAGUAACACGUGAGAAACCUGCCCCGAAGACCGGGAUGACUCACCGAAGGGUGAGCUAAUACCGGAUGCCUUCACGACGUCUCAUGGCGAUGUGAAGAAAUGGAUUCCGCUUCGGGAGGGUCUCGCGGCCUAUCAGCUUGUUGGUGAGGUAACGGCUCACCAAGGCGACGACGGGUAGCUGUUCUGAGAGGAAGAUCAGCCACACUGGGACUGAGACACGGCCCAGACUCCUACGGGAGGCAGCAGUGGGGAAUCUUGCGCAAUGGGCGAAAGCCUGACGCAGCGAUGCCGCGUGCGGGAAGACGGCCUUCGGGUUGUAAACCGCUUUCAGCAGGGACGAAAUUGACGGUACCUGCAGAAGAAGCUCCGGCCAACUACGUGCCAGCAGCCGCGGUAAGACGUAGGGGGCGAGCGUUGUCCGGAAUUAUUGGGCGUAAAGGGCUCCUAGGCGGUUCAGUAAGUCGACUGUGAAAAUCCAAGGCUCAACCUUGGGACGCCAGUCGAUACUGCUGUGACUCGAGUUCGGUAGAGGAGUGUGGAAUUCCUGGUGUAGCGGUGAAAUGCGCAGAUAUCAGGAGGAACACCGACGGCGAAGGCAGCACUCUGGGCCGAUACCGACGCUGA
This 689-nucleotide ribosomal RNA is filed under the name uncultured Actinomycetes bacterium. RNAcentral describes it as "bacterial SSU rRNA". It matches the Rfam family "Bacterial small subunit ribosomal RNA", at positions 51 to 749 of the family's 1533-position model. The record is from RNAcentral. Lineage: Bacteria; Bacillati; Actinomycetota; Actinomycetes.